UGGGAUUGUUCUUCCUAUUGGAUCAUGAUCUGAAUGAUAUUACAUGUGACCGUAAUAUAAAAUAAGUGAUGUUCUGGGGCAUCUGAGGAUAAGUCACUAAAGACUUUGCACCUUUUAGUGGGUUUCUUGGGAUACUUGCUCUUGGAGUCAUGCACCAUCAUAUGAAAAGUCUGAGAACUGGGAAGGCCAUGCUUUAAAGAAGCCUAAGCUAGUCACACGGAGAGAGUACCUGAAGAGAGAGUUACUUGGAUGGCCCCAUCUGUUCCAGCCACCCAUUGAAGGCUACAGGCCAUGAGUGAAGAAGCCAUCUUGAACAUUGCCGCCCCAGAAGAUGGAAUGGAGAGAAGAAUCAAGAAGCCCCUCCAACAUCCUUAAAUGGGGCUCCAGGCAGAUAGCCUCAGUUAAGCUGUCUCAAACCGUUUCAACCCAGCUGAGACCUCAGUUACUAUGGAGCAGAGACAGCCAUUACCACUGUGCUCUGUCCAAAUUCCUGAUCCACAAUAUAAUGAGCAUAAUAAAAUAUCUACUGUUUUAUGUCA
This is a long non-coding RNA of Felis catus (domestic cat), 539 nucleotides long. RefSeq lists it as uncharacterized. NCBI's taxonomy places the organism in Eukaryota, Metazoa, Chordata, Mammalia, Carnivora, Felidae. The record is from RefSeq and is a predicted model, not a curated record. The transcript has 3 exons.